ACUAAUAGGAUUCCCUCAGUAAUGGCGAAUGAACAGGGAUCAGCUCAGCAUGGAAAUUGGGGCCCUCGGCCUUGAAUUGUAGUCUCGAGAUGCAUCGCCAAUGGAGGCGCAGAUGUAAGCCUCUUGGAAAAGAGCAUCAACGAGGGUGAGAGUCCCGUUUGUCAUCUGCAGUCCCCCAUGCACGGCGUGCCUUCUAAGAGUCGCGUUCCUCGGAAUUGGAGCGUUAAUUGGGUGGUAAAUUUCAUCUCAAGCUAAAUAUUGGUUCGAGACCGAUAGCAAACAAGUACCAUGAGGGAAAGGUGAAAAGGACUUUGAAAAGAGAGUUAAAAGUGCCUGAAAUUGCUGAAAGGGAAGCGAAUGGAACCAGUGUUGCUUGGCGAGAUUGUCAUACGCAUUCGCGUGUGGUGGUUCUUGCCUUGUGUGUCAACGCCAGUUCGCGAUCGAGGAAAACUCCAUGGACAUGGUAGCCUGGCUCCGGUUGGGUGAAUGUGCUUGGCAGAACUCAUUCGCGUACUGAUUCCUUCGUGUCUGGUUGCAGCGCUGCUUGCUCUUGUGUUGGCGCUUGGGUGUGGGAGCUCGCUCCCUACACCCUGCCCAUCUAAGGUGCACGGCGCUUCCCUGACACAUAGACGAUGACUAAAUGGUUUUAUUCGACCCGUCUUGAAACACGG
Molecule: ribosomal RNA, 671 nt
Filed under: Prorocentrum sp. CCMP2772
Lineage: Eukaryota; Dinophyceae; Prorocentrales; Prorocentraceae
Description: eukaryotic LSU rRNA
Rfam family: Eukaryotic large subunit ribosomal RNA
Source: RNAcentral